CAGCAGCCGCGGUAAUACCGGCGGCCCGAGUGGCGGUCACUAUUAUUGGGCUUAAAACGUCCGUAGCCGGGUUGGGAAGUCCUCCGGGAAAUCUGGCCGCUUAAAGGUCAGAAUGCCGGAGGAUACUCCCAGCCUAGGGAGCGGGAGAGGCCGAGGGUAUUCCCGGGGUAGGGGGGAAAUCCUAUAAUCCCGGGAGGACCACCUGUGGCGAAGGCGCUCGGCUGGAACGCGUCCGACGGUGAGGGACGAAGGCCAGGGGAGCAAACCGGAUUAGAUACCCGGGUAGUCCUGGCUGUAAACGAUGCGGACUUUGUGUCGGACAAGCUAUGAGCUUGUCCGGUGCCGGAGGGAAACCGUUAAGUCCGCCGCCUGGGGAGUACGGCCGCAAGGCUGAAACUUAAAGGAAUUGGCGGG
RNAcentral lists this ribosomal RNA (414 nucleotides) under uncultured microorganism. RNAcentral describes it as "bacterial SSU rRNA". It matches the Rfam family "Archaeal small subunit ribosomal RNA", at positions 459 to 872 of the family's 1478-position model. The record is from RNAcentral.